UACGAACUGUGCAAACGUUAUUCGGAAUCACUGGGCUUACAGGGUGCGUAGGCGGCUUGUUAAGUAGGGUGUGAAAGCCCCCGGCUCAACCGGGGAAUUGCGCCUGAUACUGGCGGGCUAGAGGUCGAUAGGGGUGAGCGGAACUCCAGGUGGAGCGGUGAAAUGCGUAGAUAUCUGGAGGAACACCGGUGGCGAAAGCGGCUCACUGGAUCGAAACUGACGCUGAGGUGCGAAAGCUAGGGUAGCAAACGGG
Molecule: ribosomal RNA, 253 nt
Filed under: uncultured bacterium
Lineage: Bacteria
Description: partial 16S ribosomal RNA
Rfam family: Bacterial small subunit ribosomal RNA
Source: RNAcentral